GACGAACGCUGGCGGCGUGCCUAAUACAUGCAAGUCGAGCGAAGUUUUUCUGGUGCUUGCACCGGAAAAACUUAGCGGCGAACGGGUGAGUAACACGUAAAGAACCUGCCUUAUAGACUGGGACAACUAUUGGAAACGAUAGCUAAUACCGGAUAACAGCAUUAACUGCAUGGUUGAUGUUUGAAAGUUGGUUUUGCUAACACUAUGAGAUGGCUUUGCGGUGCAUUAGCUAGUUGGUGGGGUAAAGGCCUACCAAGGCGACGAUGCAUAGCCGACCUGAGAGGGUGAUCGGCCACACUGGGACUGAGACACGGCCCAGACUCCUACGGGAGGCAGCAGUAGGGAAUCUUCCGCAAUGGGCGAAAGCCUGACGGAGCAACGCCGCGUGAGUGAAGAAGGAUUUCGGUUCGUAAAGCUCUGUUGCUAGGGAAGAAUGAUUGUGUAGUAACUAUACACAGUAGAGACGGUACCUAACCAGAAAGCCACGGCUAACUACGUG
This 499-nucleotide ribosomal RNA is filed under the name uncultured bacterium. RNAcentral's name for it is "partial 16S ribosomal RNA". It matches the Rfam family "Bacterial small subunit ribosomal RNA", at positions 28 to 507 of the family's 1533-position model. The record is from RNAcentral.